Molecule: transfer RNA, 59 nt
Filed under: Campylobacter fetus
Lineage: Bacteria; Pseudomonadati; Campylobacterota; Epsilonproteobacteria; Campylobacterales; Campylobacteraceae
Also listed under: 3 other names
Rfam family: tRNA
About the family: Transfer RNA (tRNA) molecules are approximately 80 nucleotides in length. Their secondary structure includes four short double-helical elements and three loops (D, anti-codon, and T loops). Further hydrogen bonds mediate the characteristic L-shaped molecular structure. tRNAs have two regions of fundamental functional importance: the anti-codon, which is responsible for specific mRNA codon recognition, and the 3' end, to which the tRNAs corresponding amino acid is attached (by aminoacyl-tRNA synthetases). tRNAs cope with the degeneracy of the genetic code in two manners: having more than one tRNA (with a specific anti-codon) for a particular amino acid; and 'wobble' base-pairing, i.e. permitting non-standard base-pairing at the 3rd anti-codon position.
Source: RNAcentral
UCCAACGGUAGAGCGCCGGAUUCCAAAUCCGAUGGUUGGGGGUUCGAAUCCCUCCUGCC